AGAGUUUGAUCCUGGCUCAGAAUCAACGCUGGCGGCGUGCCUAACACAUGCAAGUCGAACGAGAAAGUGGAGCAAUCCAUGAGUAAAGUGGCGCACGGGUGAGUAACACGUGACUAACCUACCCUGGAGUGGGGGAUAGCUGAGGGAAACCUUAGCUAAUACCGCAUAAUACCUACGGGUCAAAGGAGCAAUUCGCUUCAGGAGGGGGUCGCGGCCGAUUAGUUAGUUGGCGGGGUAAUGGCCCACCAAGACAGUGAUCGGUAUCCGGCCUGAGAGGGCGCACGGACACACUGGAACUGAAACACGGUCCAGACUCCUACGGGAGGCAGCAGUGGGGAAUUUUGCGCAAUGGGGGAAACCCUGACGCAGCAACGCCGCGUGGAGGAUGAAGUCCUUCGGGACGUAAACUCCUUUCGAUCGGGACGAUUAUGACGGUACCGGAAGAAGAAGCCCCGGCUAACUUCGUGCCAGCAGCCGCGGUAAUACGAGGGGGGCGAGCGUUGUUCGGAAUUAUUGGGCGUAAAGGGUGCGUAGGCGGUUUUGUAAGUCUUAUGUGAAAUCUAUGGGCUCAACUCAUAGACUGCAUGAGAAACUGCAGGGCUUGAGUAUGGGAGAGGUGAGUGGAAUUCCUGGUGUAGCGGUGAAAUGCGUAGAUAUCAGGAGGAACACCUGUGGCGAAAGCGGCUCACUGGACCAUAACUGACGCUGAUGCACGAAAGCUAGGGGAGCAAACAGGAUUAGAUACCCUAGUAGUCC
This 756-nucleotide ribosomal RNA is filed under the name uncultured bacterium. RNAcentral describes it as "bacterial SSU rRNA". It matches the Rfam family "Bacterial small subunit ribosomal RNA", at positions 8 to 796 of the family's 1533-position model. The record is from RNAcentral.